Molecule: ribosomal RNA, 253 nt
Filed under: uncultured bacterium
Lineage: Bacteria
Description: partial 16S ribosomal RNA
Rfam family: Bacterial small subunit ribosomal RNA
Source: RNAcentral
UACGUAGGGUGCAAGCGUUGUCCGGAAUUAUUGGGCGUAAAGAGCUCGUAGGCGGUUUGUCGCGUCGAAUGUGAAAACCCGGGGCUCAACCCCGGGCCUGCAGUGGGUACGGGCAGACUAGAGUGCGGUAGGGGAGACUGGAAUUCCUGGUGUAGCGGUGAAAUGCGCAGAUAUCAGGAGGAACACCGGUGGCGAAGGCGGGUCUCUGGGCCGUAACUGACGCUGAGGAGCGAAAGUGUGGGGAGCGAACAGG